CGGACGGGUGAGUAACGCGUGGGUAACCUGCCUUGCACUGGGGAGUAACACUUAGAAAUAGGUGCUAAUACCGCAUAAGCGCACGGUCCUGGCAUGGGACAGUGUGAAAAACUCCGGUGGUGCAAGAUGGACCCGCGUCUGAUUAGCUGGUUGGCGGGGUAAAGGCCCACCAAGGCGACGAUCAGUAGCCGGCCUGAGAGGGUGGACGGCCACAUUGGGACUGAGACACGGCCCAAACUCCUACGGGAGGCAGCAG
Molecule: ribosomal RNA, 256 nt
Filed under: uncultured bacterium
Lineage: Bacteria
Description: partial 16S ribosomal RNA
Rfam family: Bacterial small subunit ribosomal RNA
Source: RNAcentral